GUCCAGACUCCUACGGGAGGCAGCAGUGAGGAAUAUUGGUCAAUGGGCGGGAGCCUGAACCAGCCAAGUCGCGUGAGGGAAGACGGUCCUACGGAUUGUAAACCUCUUUUGCCGGGGAGCAACGGGGUCCUUGCGAGGGCCCGAUGAGAGUACCCGGAGAAAAAGCAUCGGCUAACUCCGUGCCAGCAGCCGCGGUAAUACGGAAGGUCCGGGCGUUAUCCGGAUUUAUUGGGUUUAAAGGGAGCGUAGGCCGGUCUUUAAGCGUGCCGUGAAAUUUUGUGGCUCAACCAUGAGAGUGCGGCGCGAACUGGAGACCUUGAGUGCGCGGAAGGCAGGCGGAAUUCGUGGUGUAGCGGUGAAAUGCAUAGAUAUCACGCAGAACCCCGAUUGCGAAGGCAGCAUACCGGUGCACAACUGACGCUCAGGCACGAAAGCGUGGGUAUCGAACAGGAUUAGAUACCCCGGUA
RNAcentral lists this ribosomal RNA (467 nucleotides) under uncultured bacterium. Its description in RNAcentral is "bacterial SSU rRNA". It matches the Rfam family "Bacterial small subunit ribosomal RNA", at positions 329 to 792 of the family's 1533-position model. The record is from RNAcentral.